CUAUUAAUACCCCCAAAAGCACUUAUAUUAAAUUAAACAAACCAUUUUCCCCCCUUAGUAUGGGCGACAGAAAAGGAACGUUCAGAGCCAUAGAAAAAGUACCGCAAGGGAAUGCUGAAAAAGAAGUGAAACAACUCAGUAAAGUUUAAAAAAGCAGAGAUUUAUACUCGUACCUUUUGCAUCAUGAUUUAGUCAGUAAAAACAAGCAAAAAGUACUUUAGUUUGUCUUCCCGAAACUAAGUGAGCUACUCCAAGACAGCCUAAGAAUAGGGCCAACCCGUCUCUGUAGCAAAAGAGUGGGAUGAGCUUAGAGUAGAGGUGAUAAACCUACCGAACUUAGUUAUAGCUGGUUGCCUGAGAAAUGAAUAGAAGUUCAGCUUUUUGGUUUCUCCCUCCAACCUGCCUAACUACAGCCGAACCAAAGAAACCAAAAAAGUUAGUUAAAGGGGGUACAGCUCCUUUAAACAAGAUACAACUUCACCGGCCGGGUAAAGAUCAUACAUGACCAAGGUAAGAUGUUUUAGUGGGCCUAAAAGCAGCCACCUAUAAGAAAGCGUCAAAGCUCCUUCAUACCACCCCCCCCCCCCCCAAUUCCGAUAAUACAUCCUAAACCCGCUAAUUUUAUCAAGCCGCCCCAUGCCGCCAUGGGGGUGAUUAUGCUAAAAUGAGUAAUAAGAAAAACCACCUUUUCUCCUUGCACUCGUGUAAAUCGAAACGGACCCCCCAUCGAACAUUAAUCGGCCCCAAAAAAAGAGGGUAAUGAACUAUCAACCCCAAUAACAAGAAAAGCACCCAAAUAUCAACCGUUAACCUCACACUAGCGUGCUUACAAGGAAAGACUAAAAGAAAAAGAAGGAACUCGGCAAAUACAAGCCUCGCCUGUUUACCAAAAACAUCGCCUCUUGAAAACUAAGCAUAAGAGGUCC
Molecule: ribosomal RNA, 926 nt
Filed under: Betta stigmosa
Lineage: Eukaryota; Metazoa; Chordata; Actinopteri; Anabantiformes; Osphronemidae
Description: partial 16S ribosomal RNA
Rfam family: Bacterial large subunit ribosomal RNA (bases 142-664)
Source: RNAcentral